This 24-nucleotide non-coding RNA is filed under the name Arabidopsis thaliana (thale cress). The record is from RNAcentral. Lineage: Eukaryota; Viridiplantae; Streptophyta; Magnoliopsida; Brassicales; Brassicaceae.
UUCAAUAAGUAAAUGCGAUAUGGU